UGCUGGGUCCGAGAGAACGUGGGAGAGGAGAGGAGCCCGGGCGGAAGCUGGUUGGGCGGGGCUCCCCCUUCCUGCCCCGCGUGGAGCAGAGCUCAGUCUGGGCUCUGUGCUUGUAGGUCCCAGUCCUGAGUUUUGCCUCCUUAAUCCAGCUGAAAGCCUGAACAAAGAAUUGUCCUUUUAACAAUAAGGAGAAUUUACAAGGUCCUUUGGACUUUCCUCAAAGACCCUAGAGAUGGCUACCAUCAGACAUACACACAUA
Vombatus ursinus (common wombat) is the source of this 259-nucleotide long non-coding RNA. RefSeq lists it as uncharacterized. The transcript has 3 exons. The record is from RefSeq and is a predicted model, not a curated record. NCBI's taxonomy places the organism in Eukaryota, Metazoa, Chordata, Mammalia, Diprotodontia, Vombatidae.